CAUCCUCCAAGGCUAAAUACUCCUGACUGACCGAUAGUGAACCAGUACCGUGAGGGAAAGGCGAAAAGAACCCCGGCGAGGGGAGUGAAAAAGAACCUGAAACCGUGUACGUACAAGCAGUGGGAGCCCCACCACUAAGCCAGUGGUGAACUCCACAUCCGCAUCCUUUGCUGAGGAUACGGUUAACGGAGCGAAAGCGACGUUCAACCGCAAAACAAGCAGAGGGGGCUUAGUGGUGGGGUGACUGCGUACCUUUUGUAUAAUGGGUCAGCGACUUAUAUUCUGUAGCAAGGUUAACCGAAUAGGGGAGCCGGAGGGAAACCGAGUCUUAAUUGGGCGUUAAGUUGCAGGGUAUAGACCCGAAACC
This 367-nucleotide ribosomal RNA is filed under the name Salmonella enterica. Its description in RNAcentral is "bacterial LSU rRNA". It matches the Rfam family "Bacterial large subunit ribosomal RNA", at positions 454 to 722 of the family's 2925-position model. Lineage: Bacteria; Pseudomonadati; Pseudomonadota; Gammaproteobacteria; Enterobacterales; Enterobacteriaceae. RNAcentral also lists the same sequence under 5 other names. The record is from RNAcentral.